Molecule: long non-coding RNA, 984 nt
Organism: Gasterosteus aculeatus aculeatus (three-spined stickleback)
Lineage: Eukaryota; Metazoa; Chordata; Actinopteri; Perciformes; Gasterosteidae
Source: Ensembl
CAGCCUGAGCGGGGGGGUACCUGUAACUUUCUUCUGCCGCCGUCUUUGCGGGUUUUCCGUCUCAUACGCGCAACACUGUAGCCGGAGAGGCGCGCGCUCGAGGAGCCCCGCAUCGUGCAGAUACGCGCAGCGCUCCAACUCGAGACCACCCACGACCCCUGCCUCGGAGGAGCCGCAGGAGCUCACCGCGUGGACUCAAGACACCCGCAGGGGGAGCGGUUUGAUUUCCCCACCGCCGGCCACCGGACCAACUGGGAUUGUAACACCCCGCCCCGCUGGGAUUUCUGCCAUGUCAGGUGCACGGGACUGCAGAUGGGCCGUCCUCGUCUCUGUGGCGGCGCUUUCGUGUGGUAAGUCAUAUAAAUGCAAUCACUUUCAGGGAACUGCCCACAUGUUUGACACGUCUUAUAUGAGGGGAACCAUAAUGUAAUGGACGACCUCCAUAAUGAGGUCUCACACACACACACACACACACACACACCGUGGUUUAACCUUGACAGAGGAACCGGUAGCCGGAGAGCGCGGAUGGAUUACAUGCAAUCAGCGGCGGCGGUUGAAAGGGUUGUUUGGCGGCGACACGUUUAAUCAAUCUCAUUGGCCAUAACCAAGAAAAGCUCAGCGAGCGAGCGAGGGUCGGCCCCUCGCGGGCCAGAGGUCACGUUUCAUGCUGACGGGAGGAGAGAUUACGCUCCACAACCUCCCCCCCCCGGCCCCCCUUUCGUGAACGUGGAAAUUGGGUAUAAAAUAACUGGUUGUUCCAGGCUGUAACAGAUGGCUCCAGUUCAACGAGAAGUUCUCCCCCGAUUUCCAAGUUGGCGAGCGGAGUCCGUGGUUGGGGUCCCUUCUGCACCAAACCCCUCGUUUGGAGGGUCCUUCGUCUCCACGGGACCCCCCCUCCUGCACACGGCCCCGGUCUAACAACAGUGUCUGUCGGCGCUGUGACUGUGGGCACGAGAUGGGAGCUUCUUGAAAUGAACAGAUUUG